Molecule: ribosomal RNA, 484 nt
Filed under: uncultured bacterium
Lineage: Bacteria
Description: partial 16S ribosomal RNA
Rfam family: Bacterial small subunit ribosomal RNA
Source: RNAcentral
AUUGAACGCUGGCGGCAGGCCUAACACAUGCAAGUCGAGCGGAUGAAGGGAGCUUGCUCCUGGAUUCAGCGGCGGACGGGUGAGUAAUGCCUAGGAAUCUGCCUGGUAGUGGGGGAUAACGUCCGGAAACGGGCGCGAAUACCGCAUACGUCCUGAGGGAGAAAGUGGGGGAUCUUCGGACCUCACGCUAUCAGAUGAGCCUAGGUCGGAUUAGCUAGUUGGUGGGGUAAAGGCCUACCAAGGCGACGAUCCGUAACUGGUCUGAGAGGAUGGUCAGUCACACUGGAACUGAGACACGGUCCAGACUCCUACGGGAGGCAGCAGUGGGGAAUAUUGGACAAUGGGCGAAAGCCUGAUCCAGCCAUGCCGCGUGUGUGAAGAAGGUCUUCGGAUUGUAAAGCACUUUAAGUUGGGAGGAAGGGCAGUAAGUUAAUACCUUGCUGUUUUGACGUUACCAACAGAAUAAGCACCGGCUAACUUCGUG